GGGGUUGUAGCUUAGUGGUAGAGCUCUUAUCUAGCAUGUGUGAGGCACUGGGUUUGAUUCUCAGCACCCCA
Molecule: transfer RNA, 71 nt
Filed under: Marmota marmota marmota (Alpine marmot)
Lineage: Eukaryota; Metazoa; Chordata; Mammalia; Rodentia; Sciuridae
Also listed under: 1 other name
Rfam family: tRNA
About the family: Transfer RNA (tRNA) molecules are approximately 80 nucleotides in length. Their secondary structure includes four short double-helical elements and three loops (D, anti-codon, and T loops).
Source: Rfam by way of RNAcentral